AAAUGAAUUGACGGGGGCCCGCACAAGCGGAGGAACAUGUGGUUUAAUUCGAUGAUACGCGAGGAACCUUACCCGGGCUCGAACGGCUUUUGAAUAAGUAUGAAAGUAUUUAGUCGCAAGACAAAAGUCGAGGUGCUGCAUGGUUGUCGUCAGCUCGUGCCGUGAGGUGUCGGCUUAAGUGCCAUAACGAGCGCAACCCUUACCGAUAGUUACCAGCAUGUAAAGAUGGGGACUCUAUUGGGACUGCCACCGUAAGGUGUGAGGAAGGUGGGGAUGACGUCAAAUCAGCACGGCCCUUACGUCCGGGGCGACACACGUGUUACAAUGGGUGGGACAGCAGGCAGCAACCUGGCGACAGGGUGCAAAUCCUGAAACCCACUCCCAGUUCGGAUUGGAGUCUGCAACCCGACUCCAUGAAGCUGGAUUCGCUAGUAAUCGCGCAUCAGCCAUGGCGCGGUGAAUACGUUCCCGGGCCUUGUACACACCGCCCGU
RNAcentral lists this ribosomal RNA (492 nucleotides) under uncultured bacterium. RNAcentral's name for it is "bacterial SSU rRNA". It matches the Rfam family "Bacterial small subunit ribosomal RNA", at positions 903 to 1397 of the family's 1533-position model. The record is from RNAcentral.